RNAcentral lists this ribosomal RNA (408 nucleotides) under uncultured bacterium. RNAcentral describes it as "partial 16S ribosomal RNA". It matches the Rfam family "Bacterial small subunit ribosomal RNA", at positions 28 to 526 of the family's 1533-position model. The record is from RNAcentral.
GACGAACGCUGGCGGCGUGCUUAACACAUGCAAGUCGAACGAAGUGGCGAACGGGUGCGUAACGCGUAAUCAACCUGCACUUCAGAGGGGGACAACAGUUGGAAACGACUACUAAUACCGCAUACUGAAGGCGGGGAUUGCGUUUGAUUAGUUAGUGGGGGGGGUAACGGCCAACCAAGGCGAUGAUCAGUAGCCGGUCUUGGAGGAUGAACGGCCACAUUGGGACUGAGACACGGCCCAGACUCCUACGGGAGGCAGCAGUGGGGAAUCUUCCGCAAUGGACGAAAGUCUGACGGAGCAACGCCGCGUGAGUGAUGACGGCCUUCGGGUUGUAAAGCUCUGUUAAUCGGGACGCGGUACCGGAAUAGAAAGCCACGGCUAACUACGUGCCAGCAGCCGCGGUAAUUC